UGUGUGUUUAUGUGGUGUUGAGAUAAGCCAAAGAUAGAUAAGGAUGUAUGAGCUGUCUUUGCCUUCACUGGGGAGCCUACUACGUGCUACAGUGUCUGCAGUGCUGCAAGAUUCACUGUGGUACUACAAUAGUUGAGCCUCAUCUAUGAUGUGCUGUGUUCAAGGCACCUGUAGACCAGGUGCAUCUCCCAGGUUAUGCCAUUACAACCAUAGCCAGGUAUAUAGUUCACACAUAUGGCACUGUAUCCACUGGACAUCUGAGGUUCUAUCAGGCCACUAG
RNAcentral lists this long non-coding RNA (280 nucleotides) under Mus spicilegus (steppe mouse). RNAcentral's name for it is "lncRNA (ENSMSIG00000013753.1)". Lineage: Eukaryota; Metazoa; Chordata; Mammalia; Rodentia; Muridae. The record is from RNAcentral.